CCGAGGUUGAACCCCAAGCAUCAUAAAAUCAACAGAGUAAAAAAAUGAAACUAAUAGAAGAAGCAAGAAAAAAACUGGAUGACUGGGGAAAAAGAGAGCCUUGUGAGCCUGAUCAAGAUGAUUGCUGCGGAACUGGAUGCUCUCCAUGUGUUUUUGACACUUAUUAUGAUCAGUUGGAGAGAUACUAGCAGAGGAAGCAAGACCUGGAGUCCAAGCUCAUUGAAUACGAAGAAAUGGAAGAAGAAG
RNAcentral lists this non-coding RNA (246 nucleotides) under Strombidium rassoulzadegani. The record is from RNAcentral. Lineage: Eukaryota; Ciliophora; Spirotrichea; Strombidiidae.